RNAcentral lists this ribosomal RNA (161 nucleotides) under uncultured bacterium. RNAcentral describes it as "partial 16S ribosomal RNA". It matches the Rfam family "Bacterial small subunit ribosomal RNA", at positions 1130 to 1289 of the family's 1533-position model. The record is from RNAcentral.
GUUAUCUUCUCUAGCGAGACAGCCUCCCACAAGGAAGANGAAGGUGGGGAUGACGUCAAGUCNUCAUGGCCCUUAUGUCCUGGGCUACACACACGCUACAAUGGCCGGUACAAUGGGUUGCGAAAUCGUGAGAUGGAGCCAAUCCCACCAAAGCCGGCCCC